RNAcentral lists this ribosomal RNA (253 nucleotides) under uncultured bacterium. RNAcentral's name for it is "partial 16S ribosomal RNA". It matches the Rfam family "Bacterial small subunit ribosomal RNA", at positions 524 to 776 of the family's 1533-position model. The record is from RNAcentral.
UACUUAGGUGGCAAGCGUUGUCCGGAUUUAUUGGGUUUAAAGGGUGCGUAGGCGGCUUAUUAAGUCAGUGGUGAAAUACUCUAGCUCAACUAGAGGGGUGCCAUUGAUACUGAUGAGCUUGAGUACAGAUGAGGUAGGCGGAAUUGACGGUGUAGCGGUGAAAUGCUUAGAUAUCGUCAAGAACACCUAUAGCGAAGGCAGCUUACUAGGCUGUAACUGACGCUAAGGCACGAAAGUGUGGGGAUCAAACAGG